UGGGGAAUAUUGGACAAUGGGCGCAAGCCUGAUCCAGCCAUGCCGCGUGAGUGAUGACGGCCUUAGGGUUGUAAAGCUCUUUCGCACGCGACGAUAAUGACGGUAGCGUGAGAAGAAGCCCCGGCUAACUUCGUGCCAGCAGCCGCGGUAAUACGAAGGGGGCUAGCGUUGUUCGGAAUCACUGGGCGUAAAGGGUGCGUAGGCGGGAUCUUAAGUCAGGGGUGAAAUCCCGAGGCUCAACCUCGGAACUGCCUUUGAUACUGGGGUCCUUGAGUCCGGAAGAGGUGAGUGGAACUGCGAGUGUAGAGGUGAAAUUCGUAGAUAUUCGCAAGAACACCGGUGGCGAAGGCGGCUCACUGGUCCGGAACUGACGCUGAGGCACGACAGCGUGGGGAGCAAACA
RNAcentral lists this ribosomal RNA (402 nucleotides) under uncultured bacterium. Its description in RNAcentral is "bacterial SSU rRNA". It matches the Rfam family "Bacterial small subunit ribosomal RNA", at positions 355 to 774 of the family's 1533-position model. The record is from RNAcentral.